Molecule: ribosomal RNA, 1804 nt
Filed under: uncultured Cercozoa
Lineage: Eukaryota; Cercozoa
Also listed under: 1 other name
Description: SSU rRNA
Rfam family: Eukaryotic small subunit ribosomal RNA
Source: RNAcentral
CUGGUUGAUCCUGCCAGUAGUCAUAUGCUUGUCUCAAAGAUUAAGCCAUGCAUGUCUAAGUAUAAAAGUAUUCUAUACUUGAAACUGCGAAUAGCUCAUUAAAUCAGUUAUAGUUUAUUUGAUGGUACGUUACUACAUGGAUACCUGUAGUAAUUCUAGAGCUAAUACAUGCGCAAAGACCCGACUCGUGAGGGGAGGGUUGUAUUUAUUAGAUAAAAAACCAAUGCACCAGCAAUGGUGGUUUUGUGGUGAUUCAUAAUAACUGUUCGGAUCGCAUGACUCCAAGUCGGCGACAGUUCAUUCAAAUUUCUGCCCUAUCAGCUUUCGACGGUAGUGUAGUGGACUACCGUGGCAUUAACGGGUAACGGAGAAUUAGGGUUCGAUUCCGGAGAGGGCGCCUGAGAAAUGGCGACCACAUCCAAGGAAGGCAGCAGGCGCGCAAAUUACCCAAUCCUGACACAGGGAGGUAGUGACAAAAAAUAACAAUAACGGGCGUUUACACGUCUGUUAAUUGGAAUGAGUACAAUUUAAAUCCCUUAACGAGGAUCAAUUGGAGGACGAGUCUGGUGCCAGCACCCGCGGUAAUUCCAGCUCCAAUAGCGUAUAUUAAAGUUGUUGCAGUUAAAAAGCUCGUAGUUGGAUUUCUGGUCGGGCGCGCCCAGCCCAGCGGCUCAAACCGUUGAGUGCUGGAGUGCGCCUACCAUCCUUCUAGUGAACGGCGCUACCCUUUACUGGGCCGGUGUCGCCAGCUAGAUCUUUUACUUUGAAAAAAUUAGAGUGUUUAAAGCAGGCUUGCGCUAUGAAUACAUUAGCAUGGAAUAAUAAUUUAGGACUUUGUUUCUAUUUUGUUGGUUUCUAGGAAUGAAGUAAUGAUUGAUAGGAAUAGUUGGGGGUGCUAGUAUUCAGCGGCCAGAGGUGAAAUUCUUGGAUUCGCUGAAGACUAACUUAUGCGAAAGCAUUCACCAAGGAUGUCUUCUUUAAUCAAGAACGAAAGUUGGGGGAUCGAAGACGAUCAGAUACCGUCGUAGUCUCAACCAUAAACGAUACCGACUCGGGAUUAGUGGAAGUUGAAUUUUUGACUCCAUUAGCACCGUAUGAGAAAUCAAAGUCUUUGGGUUCCGGGGGGAGUAUGGUCGCAAGGCUGAAACUUAAAGGAAUUGACGGAAGGGCACCACCAGGAGUGGAGCCUGCGGCUUAAUUUGACUCAACACGGGAAAUCUCACCAGGCCCGGACACCGGAAGGAUUGACAGAUUGAGAGCUCUUUCUUGAUUCGGUGGGUGGUGGUGCAUGGCCGUUCUUAGUUGGUGGAGCGAUUUGUCUGGUUAAUUCCGAUAACGAACGAGACUCUAGCCUAUUAAAUAGACGAUAUAUCUUAUUAGUAUAUCGAGCUUCUUAGAGGGACGAGCAGCUUCUAGCUGCACGAGAUUGAGCAAUAACAGGUCUGUGAUGCCCUUAGAUGUCCGGGGCUGCACGCGCGCUACAAUGAAAAUAGCAGCGCGUUUCGAAAACCUUUUCUGGAAAGUAUUGGUAAACGCGAAAUAUUUUCGUGAUUGGGAUAGGGGAUUGCAAUUAUUGCCCUUGAACGAGGAAUUCCCAGUAAAUUCGAGUCAUCAGCUCGAGUUGAUUACGUCCCUGCCCUUUGUACACACCGCCCGUCGCUACUACCGAUUGGAACAUUGCGUGAGAUCUUCGGACUGACGUCGAAACGAAUGUAAAAGUUCGAUUCGCGCGUUGGAAAGAUGCUCGAAUGCAACGUUCUAGAGGAAGUAAAAGUCGUAACAAGGUUUCCGUAGGUGACCUGCA